GAUGAACGCUAGCGGCAGGCCUAACACAUGCAAGUCGAGGGGCAGCACGUCUUCGGAUGGUGGCGACCGGCGCACGGGUGCGUAACGCGUAUGCAACCUACCUCUUACAGUGGGAUAGCCCAGAGAAAUUUGGAUUAAUACCGCAUAGUAUACAGAUUCAGCAUUGGGACUGUAUUAAACAUUUAUGGGUAAGAGAUGGGCAUGCGUUCUAUUAGUUAGUUGGAGUGGUAACGGCACCCCAAGACAGCGAUAGAUAGGGGCCCUGAGAGGGGGAUCCCCCGACACUGGUACUGAGACACGGACCAGACUCCUACGGGAGGCAGCAGUGAGGAAUAUUGGACAAGUGGGCGAGAGCCUGAUCCAGCCAUGCCGCGUGCAGGAAGACGGCCCUAUGGGUUGU
This 400-nucleotide ribosomal RNA is filed under the name uncultured bacterium. RNAcentral describes it as "bacterial SSU rRNA". It matches the Rfam family "Bacterial small subunit ribosomal RNA", at positions 28 to 426 of the family's 1533-position model. The record is from RNAcentral.